AACGAACGCUGGCGGCAUGCCUAACACAUGCAAGUCGAACGAGACCUUCGGGUCUAGUGGCGCACGGGUGCGUAACGCGUGGGAACCUGCCCUUAGGGUCGGAAUAACUCCCCGAAAGGGGUGCUAAUACCGGAUAAUGUCUUCGGACCAAAGAUUUAUCGCCUUUGGAUGGGCCCGCGUUGGAUUAGCUAGUUGGUAGGGUAAAAGCCUACCAAGGCGACGAUCCAUAGCUGGUCAGAGAGGAUGAUCAGCCACACUGAGACUGAGACACGGCCCAGACUCCUACGGGAGGCAGCAGUGGGGGAUAGUGGACAAUGGGCGAAAGCCUGAUCCAGCAAUGCCGCGUGAGUGAUGAAGGCCUUAGGGUUGUAAAGCGCUUUUACCCGGGAUGAUAAUGACAGUACCGGGAGAAUAAGCUCCGGCUAACUCCGUG
This 433-nucleotide ribosomal RNA is filed under the name uncultured bacterium. Its description in RNAcentral is "partial 16S ribosomal RNA". It matches the Rfam family "Bacterial small subunit ribosomal RNA", at positions 29 to 507 of the family's 1533-position model. The record is from RNAcentral.